This 447-nucleotide ribosomal RNA is filed under the name uncultured bacterium. RNAcentral describes it as "partial 16S ribosomal RNA". It matches the Rfam family "Bacterial small subunit ribosomal RNA", at positions 328 to 792 of the family's 1533-position model. The record is from RNAcentral.
UUGCCAGACUCCUACGGGAGGCAGCAGUGGGGGAUAUUGUACAAUGGGGGAAACCCUGAUGCAGCGACGCCGCGUGAGUGAAGAAGUAAUUCGUUACGUAAAGCUCUAUCAGCAGGGAAGAAAAUGACGGUACCUGACUAAGAAGCCCCGGCUAACUACGUGCCAGCAGCCGCGGUAAUACGUAGGGGGCAAGCGUUAUCCGGAUUUACUGGGUGUAAAGGGGGCGCAGACGGCAGCGCAAGCCAGGAGUGAAAGCCCGGGGCCCAACCCCGGGACUGCUCUUGGAACUGCGCGGCUGGAGUGCAGGAGGGGCAGGCGGAAUUCCUGGUGUAGCGGUGAAAUGCGUAGAUAUCAGGAGGAACACCGGUGGCGAAGGCGGCCUGCUGGACUGCGACUGACGUUGAGGCCCGAAAGCGUGGGGAGCAAACAGGAUUAGAUACCCGUGUA